This 505-nucleotide ribosomal RNA is filed under the name uncultured bacterium. RNAcentral's name for it is "partial 16S ribosomal RNA". It matches the Rfam family "Bacterial small subunit ribosomal RNA", at positions 28 to 507 of the family's 1533-position model. The record is from RNAcentral.
GACGAACGCUGGCGGCGUGCCUAAUACAUGCAAGUCGAACGCACAGUUUAUACCGUAGCUUGCUACACCAUAAACUGUGAGUUGCGAACGGGUGAGUAACGCGUAGGUAACCUGCCUGGUAGCGGGGGGUAACGAUUGGAAACGAUAGCUAAUACCGCAUAAUAUUGAUUAUUGCAUGAUAAUUGAUUGAAUGAUGCUAUUGCUUCACUACCAGAUGGACCUGCGUUGUAUUAGCUAGUAGGUGAGGUAACGGCUCACCUAGGCGACGAUACAUAGCCGACCUGAGAGGGUGGUCGGCCACACUGGGAAUGAGACACGGCCCAGACUCCUACGGGAGGGAGCAGUAGGGAAUCUUCGGCAAUGGACGAAAGUCUGACCGAGCAACGACGCGUGAGUGAAGAAGGGUCUCGGAUCGGAAAGCUCUGUUGUAAGAGAAGAACGGGUGUGAGAGUGGAAAGUUCACACUGUGACGGUACCUUAACAGAAAGGGACGGCUAACUACGUG